RNAcentral lists this long non-coding RNA (32734 nucleotides) under Malus domestica (apple). Its description in RNAcentral is "long non-coding RNA (MDOM_LNC008077)". The record is from RNAcentral. Lineage: Eukaryota; Viridiplantae; Streptophyta; Magnoliopsida; Rosales; Rosaceae.
UAAAGUUCGGUUCAAUUCUGUUUUUCCUUUUUCGGUUAGAUGUUCGGUCCACUUUUUUUCGGUUUUCAAUUUUUUGAAAACCAUCUCUAGCCUGAUGUGCUCCGCUCGAACCCAUUGGACUGACAGACGACUUGGUGAAGGUUGUGGCGGCGGGGGCGGGAGGUUUUGGUGUGGGUGAGGGUUUGGAGUGCGAGUAGAGUGAGGAGGAGGGCAAGAAGGAGGUGAUGGUUUUGGGAUGGGAGCGUUGGGGGCGGUGACUGUGGCAAGGCCGAUCUGGGAAGACGAAUCCUAGUGGAUCGACGGCAAGGCUGCAGAGGUCGAGGUUCUUGUAGAAUUGUUAAACUAAGUGGAAAUAAUAUGCUGGAAGCGUUUAAUUUCAUUCACGCUUGCUGCCAUAUAGAUAGUUACAUGUGAUUAAGAUUACAAAGAGUCCUAUUGGAAUAGAGGUUCCCAUUUAUAUCUGAAGUAUACGAUAAUACGUAUCAACAAUGAUUUGAUAAUAACAGAGAAAAAAUAGUUCUAUACUCUAUUGGACUCUUGUUUAACAGUUCUCGAGGAUGAGUCGAGAGACUUGGUUGAAUGAUAAGAGAGGUUCGGUAUCUGGAUUUGAAGAGAUGUGAAUAGCUGGAUUUGAAGAGAUGUGAAUAGCAGCCAAAAAGAAGUUCGUUAAUUAAGAGAAGAGUAGCCACAACAACCAUGGCUGCCAUUGUUUCUCUGCAAGUUAGAGUAGAUAGAGAAAGUGAGGGAGAAGGUGAGAGCCUUGAGAAAAAGGAGACAAAAAGUAUACAUUGUUAAAUAAAAAUUAAUAAUUUAUUAAUAAUUGUUGAAUUAUUAAUAAAAAGAUUAAUAAAUUAUUAAUAAUUGUUAAUAAGAAAUUAAUAAUUUAUUAAUAAAAAUUUAUUUUUUAUUCCAAUAAGGGAAAUAAUGGGUCCCGCUAUUGUCACGUCAUCAUUAACGGCCAAAUUGACAGAAAAUCUAAUAGAUGUUUGACAUUACAACAAAUUUAUAAGUUGGGGUAUGAAAUUGUGGUUCGACCCAUAAUUAAGUAAGGUAAUUUUGUGUAAUUUAUCCAUUAGGUUUUUUUCCCGACGUCAUAGCAAAUUUACUUCUUUUUUCUAGGAUUUUGUAGUGAAACAAACAUUUCUUCUUUAUUUUUCUUUGUUUCUCGAAUUGGGGAAUUUAGACUAAAUUAAGAUUUGGAUUGGGGGAUUUCACUUAAAAGCAAAGAGAAAAGAACUCAAACAAACUGAAUGUUGUUUGACAAACACAAAUAAUAAAUUAAAUGUCUAAAAAAAAACGCAAUAGCCAUAUAGGGAUGAUGGUUUUGGAAAUAAAUUAAAAUGUAUGGACGUCUUUUAUCCUACAUGGCAUCAAUUUUAAAAAUUGAGCUUUAUUUAGAUAUUUUAAUAUACGGGAGUUUAUAUUUAGAAAUUAACCAUUGUAAGAGGAUAAAUCUAAAGCACCUAUUUCAGUCAUCCAUCGUAAGAAUCCUCAUGUUGCCCAAAAAAUAUUCAUAAGAAACCACACAGCAUCCAUGUGAAAGUUCUUUUUUUGUUCGCAACUUUACCGAAGAGGGGAGAUGACGGCAAGAGAGAAGGUGGAGAGAAUUAACAUGGGAUAGUAUUUGGUGGACACCAUUUUAUUAUGCAUCCCAGGUUAAUUGAAAGGCCCGCACAUAUGAGAAAAUAAAGUAUUACAAAUGCAUAAACAAGCUUAAACAUUUUCUAGAGUGAGUAUUGCUUCAACAAUUGGGGAAGUGUCACUGCCAGUUGACAUGAUUGACACGCAUCCAUUCCAUCUGUCCUUGCUGUACGCUUGACCUUUCUCCAAGUAACCAUAGAUUAAGCUCCAAUAAGAUUCAAAGUGAUUAAGGCCUCGAAUUUCUGUAAUGACCUGCACUUACGUGCAUAUCGCAAGUAUUUAAGAAAUGUCAAAUGUGUUUAAUUUUUCUUAGUCGUUAGUGUAAAUACUAAAUAAUAUAAUAUCGUUAAUAUAUAAAAAAAGAGUCAUUAAUACUCACCGUGUUGUCCGAUUUAGUCCUGUCCCAUGGGUUGCUCCAAGACAACAUCCAGUCGCAUUCCUCGUUAACAAUAUUUAGGCCUCGGUACACAACAGCAGCAUUGGAUCCAGAAGACUCUCCGGCAGUUUUGACGUGCAGAAACGCACCCCACUGACCAUUUGCAAUCAGUGGUGGGUAUGGUGCGUUCCCGAUGUGCCCAUACCAAUCUUUCUUAUAAGCAUAUCUUAUGGUCUCCCCAGUUGCAUUGUAAACAAGGCAGAGUGUGGAGACUCCGUCGCCAUACUGCUCCUUCAGUUUCUCCACAUGUGUUCGAGCGUUGAAGUCCUUCUCCGCGGCAUUUUUCAUAUUCAAUGCCACGUAUGCCCUGUCUAAUCUUCCUAUUUGCUUGUCGGCAUACUCUGGCAUCCCCUUCAAAGUUUCAUCCGUUAUGGGGUUGCCAAAAACGUUAUACGCCAUCUUAACUUGAUUAAUUCUCUCUCUCUCUCUCUCUCUCUUGAUUUUCCUCUAAAGCAUUUCUAUCAGAGGUAAUGCGUAUUUAUAAUCCCAUGAGCAGAGCAGGGAUGUCGACCAAAAGGAAAAGUCUGAAAUGUCCCUUAAGAAAAGAAAAAGAAAAGACGGUUACGCUCUCAUGAUGCAGCUAGCUUUGGAAUCACUAUUAUUAAAAAUAAAAAUAAAAAUAAAAAACGUGAGGGAUGCAUGCCGCAUGCAUGGAAUCACAUUAUCACGUGAACAAUAUUUUCAAAGUUAUAUGUCUGUACCAAUUGUGACAGCGAGGCCCUUCUCCAAGAGUACAGAUUUCUGCUCCUACGUGAGUUCCGUGAGUUUAUUUUCUUUAAAGGCGUAAGAAGAUGAAAUGGAUAAAAUUAUAUUGUACUAGAAUGGCUGACACGGUAAAUUGCUUAUUCAAUUACCUCAUACCAAGAGUGUGUCACUUUAAUGGAAUAAUAAAAAAACUAAGUAGGCACAUUUUUUUAUUUUGUUUCAUCUUUAACAUCUAUUUGUAUCUUUUAUUUUUGUUGUUUUCCUUUACAUGGAUUACUUUAUUGUAGAGAGAGGUGUGGGGCCCGAUUUGUUUAUGCCUCUAUAUGUGACUCAUCAAAAUGGAUUGAAUACACAUUUGCCUACUCCAAUAUUGGAGAUACUCUUGAGGGAUGGGGAUAAGAAACUCAUGAAAGGUUGCGGACCCUCCAGUUUGGCAGAGAUGUAUAUAACUGUUGAAAAAUAUGGUGUAAUUGUUAUAUCUUAAUCACAAACAAAAUCAAGAAAUAAUUCUUGCAAGUAUAUACCAAUUGAAUUACGAACUCUAACCAUAUACAAUGUCCAAUGCACAUAAUAUGGUUAGAAAAACAGAAAAUUGCGGUUGAGUCAAGAACUUGGUCCUCUCUCCUUAAGACAAUUUAUGCAUCUCACUAUGGUGCUCAUGGUUGAUUUUGCGCUUGUUUCCUAAAUACAAUGACCUCGUCCUUACAAUAGUAAUCAUAAGGCCCUAGCGAACCACCAUUGUUCUAAACUCUCUCAAAGACUUACUUAAUUUCUAAGUUAUGAUGAUAUGACUCACAAGAACUUGUAUGACGCAGUUAAUUAAUUUAUUAAUGACUAUAUAUAUAUUAGUGACUCUUCAAAAUAGUUCUCUUUCUUUGGAGAGAAACCCCUUCGGUUAGUGGGGCUGUCCCACCAUGUAUGUGUAUUUUUUUUAGCUUUAUAUUUAUAAAUUCAUUGAAUCCAACGGCUAAGAUUUAAUAUGAUCAAAUCUAACGAUAAAAAAUAAAAAAUCUAACGGUCCAAAUUUAAAUCCAAUGGCUAAAAUAAUAAUAAAAAAAUUUCUUUCAUGUGUUUCAUUUUCUUUCAUAUAUAGUGUUUCACGAGUUUCAUGGUGUCAGUUUAUUGAUUUUCAAUAUUUAUUAGAAUCUAAAUAUUUUUAGGUUAAAAUGUUCAUAAAAUUAGAUUAGGAUAGCCUAAAAAAAUUAUCCUAAAUUCAUUCUUUAAUAAUCUCGGGCUAAAAAUUUAACCCAAAAGGGUUGGAGGAGAAAAACAGUUUCUGAGUUAAAAAUUUUAGGUUUUAACCCAAGAGUUGGAGAUGGUCUAAGGGGGCGGGAGGGUGAGUUAAACAUCACAAUGGGCUAGCAAAUGUGGUUGAAAUUCGCCUUUGGCGAGAAUCGAACCUAAGACCUCUUAUUUACAAAUGAAGAGGAAUACCAAUAGACCGUAGUAUUAAGUAGCGUCAACAAUUGUAUUUUUUUAACAAACAAUAUUAUCUACACUAAGGGAUGAGAGAGUGGGCUAAACCUCACAAUAGGUUAGCAAUAAUGUGAUUCAAAGUCGCCUUUAGUAAGAGUCAAACCUAAGGUCUCUCACUUGUACAAGUGAAGAGGAAUACCACUAAAUUGUAGUACUAAUUAAGUAGUGUCAACAGUUGUAUAUUAAAGGCAAAAGUUGCACUUUUUCUCGUUAAUUUUACAGUCACAACCUUAUUCAGGAACUCAUUAGAUAUAAUUUUCGUUCAAAUAGUUUAAUUUAAUUCAUUUUGAAUUAGCCUACAUGGGCUGCUUGAUUGGAGAGACCACAGGCCACAUAGGGCAGAGAUACAGACAACCACAAGACCGAAAUACCUAAACAAGAAGAGAGAAGACAAGUCCAAACCACGUGGAAACAGCUCACUUUGUGUAUCACCAGAGUUUUUCAAUGUGACUGGCACACGAGGUGAUAUACCAUGUGUUACUAUACAAAUGAUGGGAUAUGUAUGUUAAAAAGUUAAUAACUUAAAAAUUAAAACUUUCAACCACUUACAUAAAAACACAUGAUGUACCACACGUAUUUCAGUCACAAUGAAAAAUUUAUCGUGUAUCACACUUAGAGAAUCUCCCUCAAAUGACCUGUUUUAAACGAGGCUAAAACUGAAAAAACCAGUGCAUCAAACUUUGGAAAUCUCCCUCAAUUGACCCAUUUUACAGAAGCAAACGAGGCCGGCCGCGAAUCCCCAAUAAAGCUGAAAUAAUCUUCCACAAUCUUGAAUUUUCCUUCUUGUUCACGGAAUCUCUAUCACGUGAACAACGUUUUGGUUUCACGUCAACAGUUGAUAUUGACAUUGAGGCGGAUUCUAGAGAAAGAAAGUUUGUUGAUAUUGUCAUUGAGAAGUUCGUUGAUAUUGUUGUUUAGUCAUCUAUAUGUGUUAAACCAAUCAAUAGUUUUGGUAACAAGUAGCAUUCUCAUGAUGAACCGUCGAUUUGUUUUAUACGUAUAAAUCGCUUAAUGUAAUUCAAAGACACAUUUGGUGAGAGUCAAACCUAAGGCUUUUCAUUUACAAGUGAAGAUAAAUAAUAUUAAACCGUAAUACUAAGUGACGUCAAUAAUUAUAUAUUAAAGGCAAAGGUUGCACUUUUUCUCGUUAAUCAACAGUCACAAUCUUAAUUUUCGUUCAAAGUUUAAUUUAAUUCAUUUUGAAUUAGCCCACAUGGGUUGCUUGAUUUGAUGUUGAUGAUCUGGAAGACCACAGGCCACAAAGGGCAGAUAUACAGACAACCACAAGGCCGAAACAGCUAAAAACAAGAAGAAAGAAGACGAGUCCAAACCACAUGGAAACAGCUCACUUCCUGCAUCACACUUUAAGAAUCUUUCUCAAUGACCAGUUUUAAACGUGGCAAAAACUGAAAGAACCAGUGCAUCAAACUUUGAAAAUCGAUGAUCUGGAAGACCACAGGCCACAAUGUUGGAGGAAGAUGGAUAUGAGAGAAUAUGGAAAAGAGUUUAAACAGAAAACUGAAGCUUUUAUUGAUUUCAAAUUGAUUACAACACUAGGCCAUCUUAUUGGCUAUUUAUAAUAACAUUCAGACCUUUUCAUUAAAGACAUAACUCUUGGAUUAGUUCCAAGAGUUGCAGACACAACCCUUGACUUCUAAUGAGAUACAACUCUUCCUAAACAUAGCUCUUCUCAAGAGACACAACUGUACUUAACAACUGAUACAACUUACAAGGAGAAAAUGCAUUACGUUUAACACACAAAGGGCAGAGAUACAGACAACCUAAAGGCCGAAACUGCUAAACAGGAAGAAAGAAGACAAGUCCAAACCACAAGGAAACAGCUCACUUCGUGUAUCACACUUUGAGAAUCUUUCUCAAUGACCCGUUUUGAACGAGACAAAAACUGAAAGAACCAGUGCAUCAAACUUGAAAAUUGAUGAUCUGGAAGACCACAGGCCACAAAGGGUAGAGAUACAGACAACCACAAGGCCGAAACAGCUAAACAGGAAGAAAGAAGAGAAGUCCACACUACAAGGAAACAGCUCACUUCGUGUAUCACACUUUGAGAAUCUUUCUCAAUGACACGUUUUGAACGAGGCAAAAACUGAAAGAACCAGUGCAUCAAACUUUGAAAAUCUCCCUCAAUUGACCCAUUUUACAGAAGCAAAACGAGGCUGGCCGCGAAUCGCCAGUAAAGCUGAAAUAAUCUUCCACAAUCUUGAAUUUUCCCUCUCAUUCACGGAAUCUCUAUCACGUGAAUAACGUUUUGGUUUCACAUCAACGGUUGAUAUUGACAUUGAGGUGGAUUAUAGAGAAAGAAAGUUCGUUGAUAUUGUCGUUUAGUCAUCUAUAUUUGUUAAACCAAUCAAUAACCUUGGGGACAAGUAGUAUUCUCAUGAUGAACCGUCAAUUUGUUUUUUGCGUAUAAAUUGCUUAAAGAUCUCCAAAUUCAUUUUUUUUUUUUGCAUAUAUGAUUUUUAAAUAAUGAUAGAUAAUGAACGGUUUCAAUCGUGAAGUUUGUUCAUUAAUCGUAAGUGGGGGGGGGGGGCGCAGGAAACACAAGCAUUAUUCAUCUAAUAUAUAAUCUAUCGUUGGCCAAUGUCAAUGUAGAAAAAUAAGGAAAUACAAUUAAUUAAUUAAUUAUAAUUGUUAGAGUAUUAAAAUGAUCUAAAUAUAGCAUGCACGAUAAGUAAAUGCAGAGACUCGGGAUCUCCAAAUAUAGCUAAUAUAGCCUCCUUAAAAUUGUUAUCCACGAAAGCAUGAAACAUACAUCAUUUUUAGUGUCUCACGUACGCAUUCAUCUUUAUAUAUGAACGUUAUAUUGAAUAAAUCAAACAGAAACAACAAACAUCAUUAAACAAGAAUGUACUUGUGAGAAGCAAAAAAGUAAGUACCGACCACUUCUUCACUAUAAAUAGGCUAGCUUGUCACUUUGAACUAAGCUAAGCAUCCACCUACCUAAAAAGACUUGCACUACCUACUAGUACUCCUACUACCACCUUUGUUGUACUCCUCCUCCUCCGUCAUAUGGCUCAGGCGGAAUUUAAUCACUUUACCUAUCUCAGUCCUGAGCAGCUGCGCAAGCUUGCUCGUAUACUUUACUACCAAGAAGCUGAGGCCAUUAAGAAUAUCCAGUUCGAAUACGAAGCCAAACUCGCGAAAUACCUCCAGGAUUCCAAAGCUUGUUAUGAAUCGGCGAUAAGGCUUUUGGAUAGUGCUACUACGUUGGAGCCUUGGUUUGAUCACGGCGACAAGGUUCGGGCUUCUAUUGCUCACGACAUCUACGGUUAUAUUGAAAACGCUGCCAACCAUGCAAUCCAGUUCGUGAAAAACUUUUAUGUGCGAAUGGAUUACGUAAACAAGAUUAAAAAGCAUGUCAAUGAACUCAGUGGUAAACUGGAUGAUCAAGUGACCAAUAUGGAAGAGCUGGCAAAAGAAGCUCACAAAUUCAGGAACGACUCGUUGGAGAUCGCCAGGGGUAGUCAAAGUCCCGCAUCACGCCAAUACUCCAGAUGGAUCAAGGAAACCGGCAAGACGUUUGAAGAACUAGUGCAGAAGUAUGUAUGCGUACGUAUGUUGUGUGUGUGUGUGUAUUAGCUAUAUAUAUAAUCACAAAAACAUACGGACCCCUUCUUAGCAGGAAUCCCAUAUGUGUGUAGUUUCAAAAUUCAAGAAUAAUUAAUUUUGUUCAAAUAGUUGUUUGACCAAAAAAAUUGCUUAAACAAUUUCUAAUUUUGCUUUCUUUUUUCUGACAAAUUCUACAAUUACUUUGAUCUAACAUUAGUCUCUUAAUAAUUUUAAUGGGUGCACCAUUCACGCAGGUAUCAGACAGAGCUUGGAUACGGAAGACGUCGUUUUGCAGACCUUGAAGAUUUUGAAAAGAUAAAGGUAAGGAUUGGUAUUGCUAUUUUUAGGAUAAUUAAUACUAAGGAAACUAAAUUUGUAGACAAAAAUUCCAAAUUAAAUGAUGUGUCACCAACAUGAAUAACAUAUAUAUCAACGGUUAAGUAAUAGUUCAAUCAUCAACUUUCAUAACAUUUAGUUUACAACAUUUUGUCUACAAAUUUAGUUUCUCUAACAUUACCCUAUUGCAAAUUUAUGACUCUACUUCAAUUUUUAUUUAUUUUAAAUUUGUCGAUAAUAGUCCUCACUCGUAGAGUAAUUGCUAUGCAUUAGGGGCUUUCUACUUUCUAGUAAUUAUAUUCUACAUCUAUAGGUUGAGGACAGACAACACAUAUUUUUUGACAAAACGUUUGGAAAACAUGCAUAUUUUUUUACAGACGUUUGGAUUAAUCCAACUUCAAACCUUAAUUAAUUUUGUAUGAGCAUGAAAUUUUGUAUUAGCCACAAGAAAAGACCUCAGGGUACGUACGUACAUAAAAAUGAAACCAUCUAUUAGUAUUAUUUACUACUAUAUAUUGUAAUUUGUUUGGUCAACUUAUCGAUGUGUGAUUUUCAAUAUUCUUAACUUGUUUCUAUAUUAUAUACUUUACUUGCUUCUAUGUACGUAGGUGUACGGCACAAUCAUAUCUAAAUCCGGACGGGCAAAUAUUGAUGUAACUGCGUAUUCAAAGAUUUUUGGGGCUGCUGGCAUAGCUGUUCUUAUUCUCGCUGCAGGAAUUUUAGUAUGGGACAUAUAUUCAGCAGACAAUCCACUUCAAACCGCGGCGCGUGACGCUGUAACGACUGCAGCAGCAAUUGGUGGUGCGAUGAUAGGAGAAGUUGUUGGAGUUGCCCUCGCAUCCAUGGUCACUGGCAAUGCUUUGUUAGUACUCAUGGCGGGAAUAACAGCCGGCAUCGCCGGCGCUUUUCUUAUCGGAGAAUUCGCCAUCUGGUUGAUUAAUGUGAUUUUUGGGUCUGGAGGCAGUGCCCCAUUGAGCACGAUGGGGCAUCGAUGUUACGUCACACAGUUGCCCGAGGGCUCAGUUCUGGCACGCCAAAUUGCACAUCAGCAAUCUUAAGAGGGUGAGGAUCUACAUAUCCUUAGCGGUUAUGAGCACUACUACACCCCAAGUCUACAUAUUAUCCGUACUGAAUAAUUUGAGGCCUAUUUUGUGCUAUACUACUUUUAAUUUGUACCGUCAAUAUGAGAGAUAUUGUAAAUCUUAUCUAAAUAAGAAACCAAAUCCAUAAAUAAAGGUAAUGCCAUGCAAUAAGUAUCGAUACUUUCAUUUAAUUGAACAUGAAGGCAAUGCUAGUGGUGCGAAAGCAAUCAUGCCUAUAUACCUGAUAGGAUUAGACAUGAUAAAAGGGAAAUUGCAAGAAAGUAAAUGUAGAAAUGGGAAAGAAAUCAAAUUAAAUUAAUAUAUUCAUUCAUACAGUGGCGAAGCCAGAAAUUAUCGAGGGGAUGGGCGAACUUAGAAGAGUGCAAAGUAAAAAAAAAUGGCAAACCAACGAGUGAUAAAACAUAAAUUGUUGCUAAAUUUUCUUGUCAUGCGGAUGAUAUGGGAUUUAGGUUGGCAAGGUUUAUUUUGGAGACAGUGUCUACGAAUUGUUUCACGAUAAUUAGGUGGAUAAUCAAGCAUUCGACGUCUAUGUCUAGGGUCUUAUAGUAUCGUUCUAUUACGUAACUGUAUAAUGGGAAGAAAAAAAAUCUUAGACUUUUAAUCCUAGAGUAGACUACACUAAUAUGACUAAUAACUAAUCAAACUAACAAUUCAAUUAAUCAAAUGUAAAAAAUUAUACAAAAUUAUUCAAUAAACAAAAAUUCAAUUCAACUAACCAAUAUAAAUAAUCAUAUACAUUAUUCAAUAAUUCAAUUAAUCAAUCAAUAAUCAAUAAUUCAAUUUUCACCCUAAACAAUAAUUUCAUUUGUCAAUACCCAGAGAAUUCAUAUCAAUUAUGAAUAAUCAAUAACCAUAUUAAUAUAUUAUCCUAUAUUCUAAAUAAAAAUAAUCAAUUAGGGUUUGAAAUAAAAUAUAUUUCAGAAAAUAAAAAAUAUACCUCAAAUUUGGGAAACGGAUGCUGGUGUGGUAUAUGGAGUCUGGCGUGGCAGCUGGAAUGGAAGGCCAACAAAAUAGGGUUGGAUGGCUUGCUGGGAGCCUGGGAUUGGGCACACUUUUGAAAAGUGAAGGGAUUUUAUCGUUUGGGGAAAAGAAGGUGUGGUGGGGGGGAUGAAUGGGAAACUGGAACCGGUUGGAUGGGAAUGCGAACUAGUGGUCCCCGCAAUAUUAUUUUUUCUAUUCAUAUAACAAGUAAAACGACACCGUUUAGUUUAAAAAUUAUGUUUUUUUUAUCAGGACCAAAACGACGUCGUUUUGGCCUGGAUUUAAAAUUUAAAAACAAAACCCCUGCGCACUGGCUGGGGAGCAGCGCAGCAGCAUGAACAAGAACAACACCAUGUUUUCUAGAUUCCGGCCGAACCAGAGGGGUUUAGGACUCGCUCCUGGGCUUGUUUUCCGACGAGCGGAGGGGCGGUCGCACCUCCUCGCUCCUAUGUAGCUUCGCCACUGCAUUCAUAGUCCUCUUUACAUAAGAAAAGAAGUUUAAAUAGAUUCAAGGAUAAUAGGGUUUGAGGUGUCGACAGGCCUAAUGGUAUUACCUAUGUAAUGGGCCUAGAAAAUCUGUUUGUUCUAAAAAAUGGAAUCAAGCUGGAUAAUACAUUUGUUGUCCCUUACAACCGUUAGGUAUUAUUGAAGUAUCAAGCAUAUAUAAACGUUAAAUCAUGCUGUCAAUCAACACUCAUUAAGUAUCUUUUUAAGUACAUAACUAAAGGUGUUGAUCGAACUAGAUGACGAGUUUGAUGAGGUUAUGGCUUAUCUAAAUAGUAGAUACUUAUGCCCAUACGAAGCAGUGUGGAGAUUGUUACAGUUUCACAUUCCUUUUAGAUAACCAUCGGUUGAGAGGUUGUCUGUAGACCUUCCAUCUGACCAACAUGUUCUUUUUAGAGAGACUGAUGAUCUAAACCAUGUUCUUAACCACCCUAAUCUUGAAAGCACUAUGUGAACACAGUGGUUUCAAACGAAUGUCUAAGACCGUGAUGCAUGUAUGUUAGCUUACGUUGAGUUUCCUACCAAGUAUGUUUGGAAAAAUGAUGAGAAACAAUGGACCCAUAGAAAAAGAGGUAGAUCUCUAGGAAGGGUUGCCUAUAUUCACCCUGCUGCGGGUGAAUUAUACUAUUUGAGGUUGCUGCUAAUUACCAAAAAGGCAGCUUUAGUUUUGCUAAUUUAAGGACCAUCAAAGGCAUUAUUGAACCCACAUUCCAAGCUGCAUACACCUCGCUUGGCUUAUUGGGGAUGAUAAGGAAUGGAAUAGCGCUAUGUUAGAAGUGGUUGUCACUGCGUCAUACUUUCAAUUGAGGCAAUUGUUUGUCACAUUGGUUCUCUUUUGUGAUGUUGCUGAUCCAUCAACUCUUUUUGAAACUCAUUGGAAGACGAUGUGCGAUGACAUUUCGAAAAACAUGAUCAAUGCUUUUGGCCUACAAGAUGUCUCUAAAUACCAAGAUCAACUUAGAAAUUCAUAGAAAAAUUGUUUGCUGCUUCGAAUAGUUCUUUGUCAAAGCAUCACCUACCACAACCAAACAAGUUGAUGAUAAAUAGAGUUACAAAUAGGAGUUUGAUGGAAGAGUUAGAUUAUGAUGUUGACUCACUAAAACAUGAGCACUCAAACCUAUUCAGGCAGUUAAAUAGAGAGCAAAAAUAUGUUUACGACAGUGUCAUACAAACAAUUCACAACAACAGAUCUAGCCUAUUUUUUGUACAUGGUCAUGGUGGAACAAACAAAACUUUUUUGUGAACCACCAUCAUGGCUAGAAUUAGAUCCCAAAAUCAAAUUGUUUUAACAGUGGCUUCAUCUGGAAUUGCCUCCCUCUUGCUUCCUGAUGGAAGAAUAGCUCACUCUAGAUUUAAAAUUCCUAUCAACAUCACAUAUUGCUCGGUUUGUGAGAUUAAAAAAGGGACUCGUCUUGUAAAACUAAUCACUGAAGCUGCUCUCAUUAUUUGGGAUGAAGUCCCUAUGAAUCAUAAACGAUGUUUUGAAACCCUAGAUAGGUCCAUUCGUGAUGUUCUUAAAGGGUCAAAACCAGGUUUUGACCAUUUGCCGUUUGGAGGUAAGUCGAUUCUUUUUGGAGGUGAAUUUAGGAAAAUUCUUCCUGUUAUUCCAAACGGAAGUGUUGCUAACAUUGUCGAAGCUUCAUUAACGAGUUCACACCUUUGGCCAUAUUAACAAAAAAAAAUUUAAAGCAAAACAUGAGGCUUUCAAAAAACUAGUUUGGACGAAAGAGAAAAACAAGAACUCGCUCAUUUUACAAAGUUGAUAUUAGACAUUGGAAACGGUACUGCUGCCAACUCUUUACCUUCAACUAAUGAAAAAAGCUCUUGGGUUCAAAUUCCAGAACAAUUCCUUAUCCGUUUUGAUGAAGAUCCCAUCAAAGCCAUGGUUUCAGCUGUGUAUACGAAUUUCAAAACUAAUUUCUAAGAUGUGCCACAUUUGAAAGAAAGAGUUGUUGUCACACCACGAAAUGAUACAACAACUGAAAUAAAUGCUUUUAUAUUGGGUAUGGUGCCUGGCGAAAAUCGUACCUAUCUCAGUUUUGAUUCGAUGUCUUCUUCAACGGAAAAUUUAGAAAAUUUAGAUGUGCUUUAUCCAAAUGAAUUUCUAAAUUAACUUGAUUUACCUGGUUUACUGCACCACAAGUUAGAUUUGAAAGUUGGCACCCUAGUGAUGUUGCUUAGAAAUUUAAACCAAAGCGGUGGAUUGUGUAAUGGAACAAGAUUGGUUGUGCAAUUGAACGGCAUAAUUAUACAAGCAACAAUCAUAACGGGAAGCAACAUCGGUGAAAAAGUUUAUAUCCCCAGGAUAAUUACUGAAUCAUCUCAGCAUAAAUAUCCUUUUACUCUGUGAAGGUGACAAUUCCCUCUAAAUUUUUUUUAUGCGAUGACAAUCAACAAAAGCCAAGGACAAUCCUUAAAAAUUGUUGGCCUAUAUAUGUCGCAAACUGUUUUUUCACAUGGACAACUAUAUGUUGCGCUAUCUAGAGUCACCUAAAAAAAAGGUCUCAAAAUCCUUAUUGCUCACGAUAGCGACAUGCCCUACGGUUAUACAAAAAAAAAAACAUAGUUUAUAAAGAUGUUUUAAAACAUUUACAAGAAGGUAUAACUUUGCGUUAUUAUUUUGUCCGUUUGUUUAUUUUUGUAAACAUGACUCCACCAUUUCUUUGUUAAAUCACCUUAUUCAGAUAGACAACAAAUGAAGGGGUGUGCUAUCGACACACCCCUUUUUACUUCUCACACACCCCUUAUUAAUUUCUAUCCGUUGAUUUUUUCAAUUCAUCCGUUCCGACGGCCGAAAACCAAAAAAGUGUGGAAGAAAUAAAAAGGGGUGUGUGGAUAUUAUAUUUUGUUCUUAAAAAAAAAAAUCACAGUGAACCAUGCACACUUUUCCUAUCUUUGUAUUUCACUACAGAUAUUAUAUUUUGUUAUGUUUGAGGAAGCUUUUAUAAUUGUAGAAACAAAACUAAGAAUGAACUAUCAAUUCUUCUUUUUCUUAAUUUUUCUUCAUUGUUUUUUAACCUAUACAAAUCAAACUAAAUGUGAUUUUGCAAGGUUGCUUCAACUGCUACCGAUUUGAUUCUUGGAGUAAUCUCCAUUGUUAUCUUGCAUAUGAUCUUAAAUGCUAUCUAAGUAGCCACAACUAUACUAUACUGCCUGUUUACAUGAUUCUUAAACUAUAUGCGUUAAAUGUUAUCCCACUCAUUUAGUAUUAUGUCUGAUUUUAAAUUUCUCCUUCUAAAAGGGAGAUGCGGUUCACGGAACCAUGAACGGUCGAGACAUCCAAUUUUUUUUGGACCAUCUAAGUGUCGAUAAUGUAUACGAAAUCAGUAAAUUUCGUGUCGUCCACAACAAGAGAUCAAGCAAGGUUGUCCCUCAUGUAGCCAUGAUUGAAUUGAAUAGGAAAACCACAAUCGUUCUUGUUCACAACACAAGUCAAGAGCUCCCAAGGAACUGGUUCAAUUUAAUUGAGCUUAAUCAACUUCAUAGGAGAAUCGACAACGAUGUUGAGCCUAUAGGUGACAAAUUUAGUUUCAAGUGCUGCUCGAACAUCUAAGAUGAUCAUUUAUAUUUUUUUGUUGGCUUUGGUGUGCACUCAUUCCUGCCAUCAAAUAUUAUAUGUACAUGUGUUUGGUUGCUUGACGGCUGUACAUCUAACUGAAAAGAUCACUAUCCAGAACACAAGAGUUGCAAAGAAGAGAAAUCUUAACCGGAAAAAUAUUAGGUAAUUUCUAUUUACGUUAAACUCUAAAUAUUAUUUAUAUGGCACCCUAUUUAUGACAUAUACCAAACCGUCAUCUUUUGUAUUACUUACAGAGACGAAACAGUGAGAAUAACCUUAUGGGUAGAGACUGCAACAGGUUUGAGAACAGUGGAAUACAAACGACUUUGCCACCUGUAUUUGUUGCUUUCACAAGCCCGAAAGUAAAACAAUACCAAGGUUAUACCCUGCCAUACUUUAUCUAACUACUUAAAGUUUCAGUUUGUUGAUUGUUAUCUCAUAUUUAUAGAAAACAUGUUCUCUGAAGCACAUGAUCAACCGUUUGUGUUUUCAAUCCAGAGAUUCCACAACUCUCUGAAUACAAACACAAAUAAAUCGACAACCCUUCUUUAAUAACUUUUGCGUUUAUAUUUCUUCGAUUAAUCUUUCUCACCCUAAACAUGCACAAAACAGGUUUAACCAUCUGAGAUCACCUCUUCAAAUCAUGCCCACCUCAGCUGAGAUGUAUACAGGGCGUGCAGUCAGUGCUACUUCUGAGUAAAAAACAAUUGAGAGUUGCUUUUACUUGAUCCUGCCUUGCACAUGGUUAGUUUUUCAUCACCAACCUGUUCACCGAAAUCACCUCUUUUUAAUUAUAGAAUUUUCGUGCUGCAUCUAACUUGACCAUCUCUUGAUUUGUUUCUCUAUUUGUUUAUACUCCAUGUUUGCAAAGUGAAUUUGAAAACCCUGUGUUUCUGUUUGGGCCCAAAAUGACAAUUUGGGCCAAGUUUAGAGCUAAUUUCGACCCAACGGUCUUCCAGGGGUAUCAUAGGUCGGCUAGGUCACCAUGAGCUGUCUAGUCAGAUUCGGCUGAGUCCUAGUACAAGAAGGAUUGAUCUGGAAAAAGAUGAGGUAGUUGAAUCAUGGCACGACAGGGAGUCUUGAAGGUGCUGAGAAGUAGGAAAGAAUUUAGUUCGUUAUAGAGCUUGGUUCAAAGACCUGUUGGAACUAGGAUUGGCCGAAAUCUAAUCAGAUUGGAUUGAUGGAUCUUACUCCGAGUACAUCUCUAGUUCGGCUAAAGGCAGGCUUGUUGCUAUAAAUACAAGCCACCGUGCUACGUUUCAACCUCUCUCCAUUUCAACACAUAAACUGCCCUGCGCAAACUCUCGCUCUACGCGAAACCUCUCAACAACCUUGAUAUUUUUAUUCUCUUCUUUCGCCAUCGCAUCUUCAGUUUGGAUAAACAACACUGCUUCGGGACCGACUGGUUUUUUAUCCAAGUGUCGGUCGACAAGGAUUUUCAAGUCCUUGUUCGUAGAGGUCAUCUAAUCAGCCUUCUCGGCGAAGUGAGGUGUUACAAGUUACUAGGCUCGACACAUUGAACGCCGAGUUGUUUAUGAUCAGAUACUCACAAGUUAGUUUUAGAGUUUGGCAUUCCGACGACCGAGCCAUAUUCACCAUUAAGACAUAUAUCUCUUUUGAGUAUUUGUGUCCAUAUAGAUUAGUACCAGUUCGGCGUGCUUAUACUCUCACGAAUAUAAUCACCAUGACCGAACUCGGUGCUAACGAUUCGUGAGCUUCAUAAGAUUAGCAGCCUUGUCUUUAGGCUCUAGAAUCCAAAGGCCAAGACGUGUUCCUUCCUCGGCCGCAAUCGCAAGACAGAAGUCAGCAGUGCACCCAACAUGACAUCAACACAUUUAUUCCCCGGCCGAGCUCGGCCGGCGAGUUGGCACGCCCACACACAACCGACGGACGUAGUUAGCUUAUUAGUUACUGUUUGGACCCGUUUUUACACUAUCGGCCCGAGUAAUCGAGGUCGUUGAAUGAACAAAAUUUUAGACCGUUGAACGACAAAGUGGUUGAGAUGAUUUUCAAUUAUUAUUGAGGAAUAAUAUUGUGAUUUUAAUCAUGGUAUUAUCUCUUAGUAAUAUAUUAAAUUAUUUAAACCUAAUAUUUGUCUAAAUCCCAAUUGAUUUGGAUGAUGAUGGAAUAUGGGGAUAUGCAUUAAGGUAUGGCAUCAGAUAACAACAUGCAAAGAUAUUGGGGAUACGUUUUGCAUAUGUGGUAUUGCUUUGGCUACAUGACACAUGCAAAAUUAAGACUCCUAUGCAAAGUGGUAUUUGAUGGAAGAUGGCAUCUCAAGUGAUUAGCUAAUAUUGCAAUUAAAUUGCAUGCAUGGUUGCACCUGGACAUGUGUCGUGGGAAAGAAAACAUUAUAAUUUCUAUUGGGAGUCUUGGCUAUGACUGACAGCUUAAUGGGAUAAAGUAAGGCUACUGAUGAAGUCAUCGAGAUAAGAAGCCUAGGUGGGCUAGACUUCUAAUGUGAUGUGAUAAGACUAGAUAGGUUUUUAUCCUAUUUGAAAAGUCACGAACAAUAAUCUGAAGGAUGUGCCUUGGCUCUUGAUGCGGAUCACGUUCAGUUCCACAAAUUAAAGUUGCAGUUGGACUCUACGAAAUUAUCUGGCCGCGCCACACAACAUUUGCUCCUAUAAAUACAGAGGCAGUGGCAACGGAAAAAUGGGCUCAUACUCAACACACAAACUGCCUUGUGCAAACUGACAUGUCCUGAUCAUGAUAUUCUCUAAAUACCCGGAUAGGCACGUACUGGCAGACACCUGAGGGUGACGAAAGCCAUUAAUUACAAGAGUAAUGAUUAGGAGAAAAUAUUCAUGAAUAAACUUUAGAAUCUAGAAGUAAUAAGCGAAGUUUAAGGAACUGUCUAGAGUGCACAUAACACAAUCUAAUUCAAGAUUUACAAAAAAGAAAGAUCAUUACAAGAUAUCACACAAGUGAGUGGUAGAUUGCUAUUGGUAAGGGAAUGCCUCGUACGUCGUGUCGUAGUCCUCGUUUCUAAGACCUGAAUGGGGGCGCAAAACAAAAGUGAGUGGACCAAGUUCAUAAAUAUAAUAAUAAUAAUAAAACAGUUAUCAAUGUAGUAACCCCCACAAUUUAUAUAUAAUGAAAACUACUAGCAUAAUAAGUGAUGGAUUUAAUAAAAAUCCUCGCAUGCCAAAAAUAUCUCAAAAGUCAUAUUGCGGAAUAACAUCGCCGAAAUCAAAACAGUAAACAUCUCAUAGAUCGUCUCGUAAGCGCGGUGUGCUGCUAGAAAGAUUACUGAAUAAAUAUAACUCCCGGCCCUAUGCUAGCACCGUGGUCACUGAAUAAAUAUAACUCCCGCCCCAAUGCCUGCUCCGUGUCCCUCAGCCCGUAGCUAAGGAUUAUUUCUCCCGGCCUAUCUGCCAACACCAGAUCCUCGCCCCAGGUGGCAUAGUGUCCACUAGAUACGCACAAAUAGUUACGCCUCUCAUAAAUAACCACUUCAUAGUAUAAAGUCAUCCAUCGUCUAUACUAUAAAGAGGGGUUUCUAAAACAUGUUCUAGCAUCCUAUCGUCAUCCUCAGAUAGUCUACCAGUUCAUGGUUUUUAUAGAAAAUAACAUAUUUUAAAAUAUAGCUCAAUAUAGGCCAACAAUUAAUUCCUCACCAAAACGAGACGAUAAACAACAUAUUUCAUAAACUUGCUUAACAUAAAACUCCGUUCAUAAAUUCGUAAGGCAUGCAUUUAAUUUAUGCAAUUGAACUAUGAAAUUAUGCAAAUUUGAGAAAGGGUCCACUUACAGAUACUCCUUAGCAGUAGAGUUGUGCGGAUAAGGAUUAAGAAUUUCUUCACUAGCAACUUCACCUAAGCACAAAAAUGUAAUAAAUAAAUAAAAAGAUUUUCUAAAGGAUUUGGGCUUGAACUAAAUAAAAUAAGGUAUUUGGGUUGAAAGGGUUAAGGUCUAAUGGGUUUUCGAAUCCUAAGGUUUUUGGGUUAAAGGGUUUUAGGGUGAAGAAGAGUGGUUUGGGUUUAAACCCAAACCCACACUCACACACACGCCAGCCCAUAUACACACACCUGCACAGCACAUACAUACACACCCACACAUGCACAACACAUGCACACACACCACACAUGCACGGACACACACACACAACACACACACGCACUACAUAUCACACACACCACACAACCCACACACGCACACACAGCCCAAAACACACACACGGGGCCUAGACAGGGCACGACCCACAUUACACACAUGCACAACAGUCCACACACAAGCAGACCGGGCUUGAAGCCCUUUCCUUUAAAACCGGCCCAAGGCCCUUAGGGUAUUUGGGUUUUAAAAACAUAAAACAAAAAAUAAAAAUGAUACGGGCCAGGGUAUUGGGUUGGUCCAAAACGGGCUAAGGCCCGUGGUGUUCUAAAUGGCCUGGAAGGCCUGAUGUUGCUGGAGGAGAACGUCGGAGCUGCUACAGCUCCGGCCGACGGCAAACAGGGGUUUUAGACCCUGAUCUAACUACCAAAAUGAAGAGCAAGAUGAGGGGAAGAUAUUGCUACCCUCGAAUAGUUGUGACACGGUCGGAGGUGACCGGAAAUUCCCUCGAAACUCACGGGUUCGCCGGAAAAAUGGGUGAGCUUCCCCCGCGCCGUUCCUGUCUUCAAAACCUUGGAAAAACAAUGUAAAUCUUAUCACACAAUGUCCAACAACAUCAAUGGUGAUUUAAAAAGGGAUCCAACCUUACCUAAUCGGAGAAAUAGAAAAAUCUCGCCGGAGAGUUCUUCUGGGUUCCUCUGUGUCCCGCAGCAACGAAAGAGAGGGAGAGACGAUAGGGUAAUGAUGGUGAAUGAGUUGUAGGUAUGGGGUUGGUAAUGGGUGUAGGCUCACGGGAGGAUGAGAGGGAGAGAGAUGAGAGUGAGUGCAGAAAGAAAGAGAGAUGAAUGAGAGAGGUCUCGGGGUUGGGGGGACAAAAAGAGAGAAAAGAGAGGUGAGUUAGGAUGCUGCCACGUGGCAGUUUGGGGUGAAACCACAUAUAAUAUGAAUAAUUGGGGGGUGGUUGUAACACAAACCCUCGCUCUACGCGAAACUUCUCAAACAUCUUGAGGUUUUUAUUUUCUUUUUCGCCAACACAUCUUCAGUUUGGAUAAACAGCACUGUUGCCGUAGAAUCAGCCAACCGCGGAGCACCUUCAGUUUGGAUAAACAGCAAUACGUCGAGGCCGACUGGUUAUCUAUCCAAGUCUCGGUCGAGAAAGAUUUUCGAAUCCUUAUUGGAAGAGGUCAUCUCAUUAGCCUUAUCGGCGAAGUGAGGUGUUACAAGUUACUACAUUCGGCACGUUGAAAGCCGAAUUUGAUAUUGAACUUCGUAGAACUAGCAGCCUUCUUCAGGCUCUAGAACCCGAAGGCCGAGACGUGUUCUUUCCUUAGCCGCAGUCGCAAGAUCAAGAAGUCAGCCACCCGCUUAACGCAACAUCAACAAAUUUUACUCCUCGGCCGAGCUUGGCUGACGAGUUGGCACGCCCGCAUACAACCGAAUGACGUAGUUAGCUCAUUAGUUACUCGGCCUGCGCACAACGUAGGCUUGGUAGUUUUUAGGGUCAACAUUUUGGCACGCCCAGUGGGACCCAGUGCUAAAACUACGAAGUUCACAUGAUAUAUCUCAAUCAGGCUUCAUGGGAUGAGUUUCAUCGCCUAUUAAAUGAGCAAAAACAACGUUUCGAGAUAUGGGGUAGAAUUUCUGAAAGGCAAGAGGCCGGGGGGCAAAUUUAUGCUCCGGCCACAAUCAAAAUUCGACCUCAGAACAUUGUCGAAACGGCCAAAGAAGAACCUAGGCCAUCUGCUUUUUCGGUCGAGACUGAAAGUGUGGUAGGCCUAGAAGAAAAAUUUCAAGUUUUUGAGCCAGAAAUCAACUUAGAAAAUGAUUCGUCAGAGGAGUGUUCCAAUGACGAACAAGAUAGAUACACGGCUUCAAACCAUAAAAUCACAUCGAUUGAUAUGGUAAUUGAAGACAUAGACCUAGCCGCCAAAACCACGCCAAUCGAUAUUAUUAUUGGUGAUAAAGCCGAUAUGGAGAAAUUCCGUUCGGCCACGUUGUUCGAGUUAAAAGCCGAAAUUGGCGAAAUUAUUAUGUCUGGGGGGCAUAAUAAUUGUUCAACACAUUCGGCGGCCGAUAAAAAAUCUCUUCAAGCCGAACAUAUUUGGAGAUGAUCUUUUAUUCGGCUUUGGAAAAUCUCAAAGUGAAAAUUUUGAUGUAAAAAGAUCUCGGCUCGGAAUAAAACAUCGUUGGCCUCCUCCACUUUAUAGUUCGGCAACUUUUGUUUUUUGUCUUUUUUUGCUAAAAAAAACAACAAAAAAAGAUGAAUAAAUUAUUUUCUUAACCAUUCGGCCUUUCAGGCCGAUGCAUAAGAAAAUAAAGGGGGCAACAAUCCAAUGGAUUAUGGGGCUGUUGGCAAGGCUGUUCUUGUUUUUGGUUUAGGAGUUUUGAUAUGGGUACUGCCGGCAGACAACCCGCUUCAAACAGUGGCGCGUAACGCUUUAUCGAAUAUAGCAUUAGAUGGUAGUGCGAUGGGAGAUGUUAUUGGAGUUGUCCUAUCCGUGGUCACUGACGAAGCUUUGUUAGGGCCCGUAAUAGCCGGCAUUGGCAUAUGUUUUCUUAUUGGAGAAAUCACCAUCUGGUUGACUAAUGAAAUUUUUGGGUCUGGAGGCAGUGGGCCGUUAAGCACAACGGGGCAUCAAUGUUACGUCGCUCAGUUGCCCGACGGCAAAGUUCUGGCACGAGAAAUCGCGCAUCGGCAAUCUUAAGAGGGUGAGGAUCUUCAGAUGUUUACCGGUUUUGAGCACUACUGCGCCCAAGUCUACAUAUUCUCCCUACUGAAUAACUUGAGGCCUAUUUUAUGUUAUAUACUUCUUUAAACUAGUACAGUCUGUGUGAGAGGUGUGGGAAAUGUUAUCCAAAUAAGAAACCAAAUCCAUAAAUAAAGGUAAUGCGAUGCGAUGAUUACCGAAACUUUAUUUAAAUUGAACAUGAAGCCGAUGCGGAUGGCGCAAAACCAUGGUGCGGGUUCGAUUUUCAAUGAUUCUACUCGCUUAACGACCAACCAUUUAACUUGCUAACGCUACUACUACAAAAAUUAAACAUGAAGCCGCAGAUUUAUUACAACAUCAAGUAACAUCAAGCCAAAUGCAUUUGAAAUUAACAUCAAGCAAUCCAGACCGCACCACAUUUAAAUAAUAAAACUCAAAUUACUAUAAUUAUUGUAAAUAUGAGUAUUCAAUAGGAGAGAUUUUUUCAAGUGCUGGGUAUUCAAGCAGAACUCGACCUGUAAUGAUACAAGUGUAGAAAAUGAUAUAUUUUUUUGUGUCUCAAUGUAGAGUACCCACUUGAAUAUUAGGCGCUUGAAAAAAUUUCUCCGCCAAUAGGAUGGAUUGAACCUUCUACGGUAUGUUAAGAUGGACAAACCAAUGUAAGCAUUGUAAAAAGAUGAUAUACAAAUAACUCGAUUAUUUCUUUCUUUCUAUUUCACAUUCAUUAAGUCAAUCUGAUUAAACAUGUAAAUUCUUGCUUCAUCAAAACCACCCCCAGUACAAAGCUUUCAAACCCUAGAAUAAAAACAAUUAAAGGGAAACGAAACCUGGAAAAGCUAUACACCGUGUUAAAAGGAAUAAACACCGCCACCCCCAUCUUAAUCUGUUACGGACACAACUUCUUCCCUCCUAACAUCAUCGCCAACAUCGAUAACAACAUUAAUAAAUAAUAAUAGAGGGAAAGAAUAUACUCCCGAAAGGGCAAUACCUACAAGGGUAAGUCUGCAGUUUACUGCUAAACUGGGAUGACAUCAUUCUUUGAUGCAUCAUCACAUCUCAACACAAUACCCUCGACGCUGGCUGGAAAGAUACAUUUGGCCCACUGGCAUCCUGUCGUGAUCGGCUCAGGUGGAGGAACAAUCAUCAGCACAUUUUCAUUUCUUUGGACGACUCCCAUUACACUAACUGUGCUUCCUUCUUUUAUGUACCUGCAAAUACGACAUUGCAGUUUAGCGCUACAAUCACUUUAAUUUGCAUCUACCAAAAUCAAACUACUUGUAUGGAAAAGUAAACAAAUCUCAUUCACAUUACUUAUACAGUAUCGGUAGUUGUCAGAGCACACAGUUAAGUUCCUAUUCUAACUCCAAUUUAUUUGUCCUUAACAAUAUAUAUUUUUUACUCCUUUUUUCUUGUCUUUCUUUCCUUCUUCCUGGGCUUCUUCAAUCUCAUCAAAUCCAUCUCUGCCGCACCUGCAUCUUGUUGUGCGGAAGCGGCGUUCGACUGUAAGUGAAUAGUAAGACAGAACAGAAACAAAACCAACACCAACAAGAACACCAAGAUUUAUACUGGUUCGGCAAUACCUACAUCCAGUUUGGAGACGACGGAGUAUUCCACUAUAAUCAAUGAGAACAUACAAUAGUGUUUAUCACUCAAUUUCCCAAAGACCCAAAUAACCCCAAGCUCUCACACUUACAAUAGGAAGAGAAAACCAAAAAUACAAAGCAAGACAAUUUGAGAAAAUUCUUCUCUAUGCCAAAUGGCUUCUUGCUAUUUUUCUCUCUUCCUUGUUCUUCUCUACUUCUCCAUGCUUAUGAGCUACACCUUGCUCUCCUUUUAUAGCCAAAGAAAAGCUUCUCAAAAACAUCAAUGGCCAAAGGCCUAACAUCAAGUCAAAAAGAAUUAGGCAUAAGUGCAUCCAAUUUUGGUUUCCCACAUGUAGCAUGCCAUCCAACAAUUUUGACCACAAAAGUAGCCCAAAGAUUUGGGCUUUGACUACAUGUUUGAGUCAAUAAUCAACAAUCUCCACCUUGACUCAAACCCUCUAAGUAGAACUCCAAAUAGUCGUCUCCCAAUCCCCCAUGGGGCAAUCAACAAAUUUUACAAAUGCCAAUCAAGUCUAAGCAGUGCUUAAACUUGUGCAACGAAACUGGCUUUGUUAACAUAUCAGCAGGAUUGUCAGCGGUCCCAAUCUUCUGAAGAAGAAUAUCUCCCUCGUCAAUAAUCUUACGAACAAAAUGGAACCUCACAUCAAUGUGUUUCGUACGUGCAUGAUGAACUUGAUUCUUUGCUAAAUGAAUAGCACUCUGACUGUCGCAAUGAACAUCCACAUGGUCUUGUUGAACCCCUAAGUCAUCAAGCAACCCUUGAAGCCAGAUGGCUUCCUUUAUAGCUUCUGUUACAACCAUGUAUUCUGCCUCAGUAGUCGACAAAGCAACUGUAGAUUGCAGAAUCGACCUCCAACUUACUGGACCUCCAGCAAUAGAGAAUACAAAACCAGUAGUGGACCUACGCUUGUCCAAAUCACCUGUGUAAUCAGAAUCCACAUAUCCAACAACACAUUUACCAGUAACUUUAUCCUGCUGGAACAAUAAACCAACAUCCACAGUACCCAGAAUAUACCGUAGAAUCCAUUUCACAGCUUGUGAAAAUCAGGCCUAGUACACACCAUAGCAUACAUCAAACUACCAACAACAUUUGCAUAAGGAAUUUGAGCCAUGUACUGACUCUCUUCAACAGUUUUAGGAGACAUAGAAGCGCUAAGUUUGAAAUGAGAGGCAAGAGGUGUACCAACCGGUUUUGAAUUUUCAUUCAUCCUGAAACGUUGUAGUACCUUCUUCAAAUACUGCUUCUGACACAGACUAAUCUUGCCCUUCGCUCUAUCUCUUUCAAUUUCCAUACCUAGUAUCUUCCGAGCUUCUCCCAAGUCCUUCUUCUCAAAUUCAUUACUUAGUUGAGUCUUCAACCUUGUGUAAUCUCCACUUUGCUCUUACAUGCUAUAAGCAUAUCAUCAACAUAUAAAAGCAGAUAAAUGAAGGUUCCAUCUUGUAGUUUGCGAAAGUAUACACAAUGGUCAUAGUGACUUCUUGUGUACUUCUGCCCGAUCAUAAAUCUAUCAAAUCGCUUGUACCAUUGUCUUGGAGACUGCUUCAAGCCAUACAAUGAUUUUUUCCAAUUUGCAAACCCAAUUUUCCUUUCCAGCAACCUUAAAACCCUUCUGGUUGAGACAUAUAAAUCUCCUCCUCCAAAUCACCAUGUAAGAAUGCAGUCUUGACAUUCAAGUUGGGCCAACUCAAGGUCAAAACUGCACAACCAAAGCCAACAAAAUACGAAUAGAAGAAUGUUUUACUACAGGAGAAAAUACCUCAUUGUAGUCAAUGCCUUCCUUCUGAGCGUAGCCUUUAGCUACCAAUCUGGCUUUGAAUCUUACAUUGUCUUUUUUCCCAAAGAUUCCAUCUUUUUGGCAUACACCCAUUUUACAACCAAUUGCUUUCUUCCCCUUUGGUAACUGAACCAGCUUCCAAGUUUCAUUUUUAUGAAGAGAUUUCAUCUCCUCAUCCAUAGAUUUCUUCCACAACUCGCAGUCUGAACUCAUGACAGCUUCUUUGUAGGCAGAUGGAAUAUCAUCUUCAAUAACAGGAAGUGCAUAUGCCACAAUAUCAGUAAAUCGAGCAGGCUUUCGAAUUUCCCUUCUCGAUCUUCUGGUUGCAAUAUAGUCUUGUUGCUGUGGAGGCUCUUGGGUAGGUGCCUCCUCUUCAUCAUCCUCGUCCUCAUCAUCAGAAUUAACUGUAGGACUAGUGUUUGAAACAUCAGACCUUACUGGAACAACUGGAGUCUUCAGUAACUCCACCUGCUUUGAGCUACUCAUGGUCUCGAUCGCUUCAGUUUCACCUUCAUGAUUGUUCUGAUUAACCAUAGCAGCCUCAUCAAAAGUCACAUCUCUGCUUACAACAAAUUUCUUCUCAUCUGGACACCAGAGUCGGUAUCCCUUCACGCCAGUACUAAAGCCCAUAAAUAGAGCUUUCUUUGCUCUUGGAUCCAACUUGCUUUCUCUGACAUAAUAGUAAGCAGAACAACCAAAUAUGUGUAAAAACUUGUAAUCAGUACAAGGUUUACCAGACCAUACCUCCAUGGGCGUUUUGCCCUCAUUCGCAGCAGCUGGCAAUCGAUUAAUGAGGUGGCUUGCAUAAGUAAUUGCCUCAGCCCAAAAUGCCUUGCCUAAUCCAGCAUUAGACAACAUACACCGAACUUUCUCAAGCAAAGUACGGUUCAUGCGCUCCGCCACCCCAUUCUGUUGCGGUGUCUCCCUAACCGUGAAGUGCCUCACAAUACCCUCAUCUUGACAAAUUUUCAAGAAAGGAUCAGACUUAUAUUCACCCCCAUUGUCUGAUCUGAGAGUCUUGAUCUUUCGACCGCUUUGCGUUUCAAUCAUCUUUUUCCACUUCAGGAAUAUCUUCAAGACUUCAUCUUUACGCUUCAUGGUGUACACCCAUAUUCUUCUAGAGAAGUCAUCAACAAAGGAGACAAAAUAAUGGCUACCUCCCCAAGAUGCAUUCUUGGAAGGUCCCCAAACAUCAGUGUGAACAUAAUCAAGAAUGCCUUUAGUGUGGUGAAUAGCAGUGCCAAAUUUUACUCUAGUUUGCUUACCCAACACACAAUGCUCACAGAAUUCCAAUUUGCAUGCCUUUGCACCUUUCAAUAAGCCUUGUUUCACUAAUCCUUGCAACGCUUUUUCACCAGCAUGCCCAAGACGCAUAUGCCAUAACCUCGUGGUGUCUGUGCUAUCUGCGUCAGCAGCUUCGGUGACAGCUGCUCCACCAAUAACUGUACUCCCCUGCAAGAAAUACAAGUUAUUUCGUCUUGUACCUUUCAUCACCACCAGUGCCCCGUACACAGCUUUAAGAACUCCACCCUCCAUGGUGAUCUUGAGACCCUUGGAUUCCAAUGCACCCAGUGAGAUAAGAUUUUUCUUCAUAUCCGGUACAUACCGAACAUCACUUAAUUCUCUGACUGUUCCAUCAUGCAUCUUCAAACAGAUUUUGCCUAUCCCUUGUGUUUUGCAGGCAUUAUUAUUACCCAUCAAAACAACUCCACCAUCCAGCUCCUCGAAUUUAGAAAACCACUCCCGAAUGGGACACAUAUGAUAGGUGCAACCUGAAUCCAAAAUCCACUCAUUUGAGUGACCAUCAGCAUAUGAACUAGCCAAAGCAAACUCGAAAUCAUCAUCAUCUCCAGAUUUUGCAAUAUUUGCUUCAGAACCCGCUUUCUCCUUCUCUUUGUUCUUCAAUUUGGGGCAGUCUUUCUUCCAAUGACCCUUUUGGCGACAAAAAGCACAUUCAUCUUUAGCAGGAAACUUCCCUCGUGACUUUGAACGAGAUUUUCCCCGCUUCCCAGAUUUUCUUUCCUCUAUUCGACCCCUUGCAACAAAUGCCUCGGUUUGUGAAUUGUGAGUCUUCAUUUCCUUCUUACGACACUCAUGAUUCACCAAUGCCGCAGACACCUCAUCAAGUUUCACCUCGGAUUUUCCAUACAACAGAGUAGUUGUCAAAUGAUCAUAAUCAUCAGGCAAUGAAUUUAACAAACAUAGUGCCUUGUCCUCGUCAGGAAUUUUCACAUCAAGGUUUGCUAAAUCAGCAAGUAUUUUAUUAUAAUCAUUGAGGUGUUCGUGCAUAGAGAUACCUGGACGAUACUGAAAUUGGAAGAGUCGCUUCUUCAAGAAGAGACGAUUUUCUGCGCUCUUGGUCAUAUACUUCUCCUCCAAUUUCGUCCAUAACUCCUUAGCAGAAGUUUCCUUCAUAUACGGGUAUUUCAACUCCUUAUCAAGGAACGAUCGAAUAGCAGCACAAGCAUGAAGAUUAAUUCGCAUCCACUGCUUGUCAUCAAUAUCUUCUGGUUUAUCUUCCAGAACCAUAUCCAACUCUUGUUGAUACAACACAUCCAUAACUUCACAUUGCCACAUACCAAAAUUAUUAGAGCCAUUGAAUUUAUCAACCUCUAACCUUGUAGUAGUGGUUGGAUGUCUAUUGGAUGUAGACGAAGACGAUGCUGACUCCUUCCUUACAGAUUCGUCUUUAUCUCCAGCCAUCUACUCGGCACUGUUCACAAAUACGGCACUGUUCACAGGUACAAUACUGUUCACAGAUACUGUAGCAGUUCACUGUUCACGGAACUGUAACGCCAACACUAUUCACGGAACUGGGCUCUGAUACCAAUUGUUGUGCGGAAGCGGCGUUCGACUGUAAGUGAAUAGUAAGACAGAACAGAAACAAAACCAACACCAACAAGAACACCAAGAUUUAUACUGGUUCGGCAAUACCUACAUCCAGUUUGGAGACGACGGAGUAUUCCACUAUAAUCAAUGAGAACAUACAAUAGUGUUUAUCACUCAAUUUCCCAAAGACCCAAAUAACCCCAAGCUCUCACACUUACAAUAGGAAGAGAAAACCAAAAAUACAAAGCAAGACAAUUUGAGAAAAUUCUUCUCUAUGCCAAAUGGCUUCUUGCUAUUUUUCUCUCUUCCUUGUUCUUCUCUACUUCUCCAUGCUUAUGAGCUACACCUUGCUCUCCUUUUAUAGCCAAAGAAAAGCUUCCCAAAAACAUCAAUGGCCAAAGGCCUAACAUCAAGUCAAAAAGAAUUAGGCAUAAGUGCAUCCAAUUUUGGUUUCCCACAUGUAGCAUGCCAUCCAACAAUUUUGACCACAAAAGUAGCCCAAAGAUUUGGGCUUUGACUACAUGUUUGAGUCAAUAAUCAACACAUCUCUCUUGCAACUGAUAAAGUUUGUUUGUUUUGGUGUUUUGAUUGAUUGUUUGGAUUGGUUUCUUAGGGUUAGAAUGGCAGAGAAUGGAGAGAACUUGGAGAUGAGAUUGACGGCUUCAAAGGCUGUGUAAUUAAGAUACAGAGGCAAUAAUUUCAUUAAGUAGGUGAAUGUUUGUAGCGUAUGGUGCAUUGCCAUGACCCAUACUUCUUCAAGAGAGUGAUUGACAAGAGACUUAAACAACCAUUUCAUCAUUCUUACUCCAGAUUAAAUCCUAGCCCUUCAUUUGGGUUUUAAGUUAUCUAAUAUGGAGUGUACACUUGUCACUCACACACUCACACAUACAUUUAAAUAAAAAAACUAGCCGUUGGAGGCUCUUUCUUCUUCUUUCUUCUUCGAUGUAGACAUCAGCCAUGCUCAGGAGCUCUUUGCUGCCUUCGAUUCUUCGAUUCCAAAAGCUGUUUAGCUUCCAAAACUCCCCUCUAAAUUGCUUUUAGGAGUCAUUCCGAGCAAUCCCCUCAGGUAAUUGAAUCUCUCAUUCGGUAAUGCUUUUGUGAAAAUGUCAACGAUCUGAUCUUUUGUGCUGCAAUAGAUUAGCUUGAUUGUGUUGUUCUGCAAUGCCUCUCAGAUGAAAUAAUAUCUUCUUUUGAUAUGCUUUAUUCUCUGAUGAAAUACUAGGUUUUUUAUCAUGGCAAUUGCAGAGGUGUUGUCACACAAGAGUAGUGUGGCAUCAACCUGCAAUUCGCCAAAAUCUUUGAGUAUAAACCUUAGCCAUAGCUUGAGCCAUUGAUUCUAAUGCACUCACGUACUCUACCCCAGCUGUGGACAGUGCAACACUUUGUUGCUUCACUGAGGCCCAUGAAAACACUCAUGAACCAAAGGUGAAAGCGUAGCCCGAUGUGAUUUUGCUAUCAUCUUCACUGCCACCCUAGUCACUGUCACAAAAUCCAAUUAGGAUAGUUGACUUCCCCAUCUCAUACUUGAUCCCAUAAUCAAGUGUUCCUUGCACAUAUCUUAGCACUCUCUUAGCUGUCCCCAUAUGUAUCUUGCUAGGAUUAUGCAUAAACCUAGAAAGUAGGCUUGCUGAGAACAUUAGAUCCGGCCUUGUUGCAGUUAGGUACAAUAGACUGCCAACAAUGGUUUUGUAGAGACUAGCAUCCGCAGGUUCACUUCCAUCAUCCUUCUUAAGCUUUUCAUUUGCGAUUAGGAGUGUAGAGACCGGUUUGCAUCCCUUUAACCCAAACUUUUCAAGCAAUGUUUCAGCAUACUUCUUUUGAUGAAUGAAGAUGCUACUUGCUUCUUGAAUUACCCCAAUGCCAAGAAAAUGAUGCAAGAGGCCUAGGUCAAUCAUUUCAUACCUCUUCAUUAUUUCUUCUUUGAACUUUUCAAUCAUUGCAACAUCAUUUCCAAUGUAGACCACAUCAUCCACAUAGAUUGAAACAAUGAGGGUCUUGUUGUUACUUUCUAUUUUGGUGUAGAGUGUAGCUUCACUAUGACUUUUCUGAAAUCCUUUCUUAGUGAAAUAAGAAUCAAUAUCACUGUACCAAGCCCUUGGAGCUUGUUUUAGGCCAUAGAGUGCCUUCCUUAGCUUGUACACAUUCUCUAGGAAAUGCUUCACUUGUGAACCCUUGAGGUUGUUCCACAAACACCUUAUCCUCUAGCACUCCAUUUAGAAAUGCCGAUUUGACAUCCAAUUGAUGCAACUUCCAACCUUUCUUGGUUGCUAGGGCUAUCAAGGUCCUUAUGGUGUCUAACCUUACUGCUGGUGCAAAGGUUUCAUUGAAGUCUACACCAGGCUUCUGUGAGUAGCCUUUAGCUACCAAUCUUGCCUUGUUCUUCUACACAAAACCAUCUAGGUUGAGCUUGGUUUUGUACACCCAUUUCACUCUAAUCAUAGGUUUUUCACUUGGUCAAUUUACAAGUUCCGAAGUGUCAUUCUUCUGUAUCAUUUCAAGCUCUACCUUCAUUGCUUUCUUCCAAGCUUUGACUUUCUCAGCUUCUUCAUAUGUUUCUGGUUCCACUACACAGUAAUUACAUGUAGCAUAUAUCUCAUCUAAGCUUGUCAACCUCACUGGAAUUGAACUUGGAGUUGUUAUCUGUGAGUGACUCGGUUGUAGACUCAUGCUUGCUUACUGUGGAGUCCCUUGUGUGUCACCAUUCUCUGUGGUUUCUUCUUGAAUUAAGCUCUCUACAGGCUGGCUUGUUUACCCAUUGUUGAGGUCAAGUUGUAGAGAGACACUGUCUUUCUUUUCUACACUUGUUUCCCAAUUCCAUGUUGAGUCUUCAUCAAAGAUAACAUCCCUUGAUAGGAUUAUCUUCUGAGUUGACAGAUUAUAAACUCUGUACCCAUUUUCACUAGUUUCAUAACCCACAAACACACCCUUGUUGCUUGAUUUCUCCAAAAUUUUCCUUAGUUGUUGAGGAAUGUGAGUAUAACACACUAAGCCAAACACUCUCAGAUGCUUCACAGAAGGCUUCCUUCCACUGAACACUUCCAAAUGGUGUCUUCUUAUCCAGUGCUUUAGUAGGGCACCUAUUCAAUAUGUACACUGAGGUGUUCACAGCUUCACCCCAAAAUGUAUAGGGCAUGUUCUUCUCAUGCAUCAUAGACUUAGCCAUUUCAACUAUAGUCAUAUUCUUCCUUUUUGCAAUGCCAUUCUGUUGUGUUGAAUAUGCCAAUGUGAGUUGCUUCUCCAAUCCCACAUCUUCAUAGAAUGCCUUGAACUCAAGAGAGGUGUACUCUCCUCCCCUAUCACUUCUUGGUCUUUUGAUUUGGUAUCCACUUUGCAAUUCCACCAUUGCCUUGAACUUCUUGAAUAUUGUGAAUACCUCAGACUUGAACCUCAUGAAAUACACCCAACACAUCCGUGAGUAGUCAUCAAUGAAGGUUAGGAAAUACAUGUUUCCACUGAUUGUUGUUGUUUGCAUUGGUCCACACACAUCCGUGUGAAUCAAUUCGAGUGGCUUUGUUGCCCUCCAAGCCUUUCCAGCUUAAAAUGGAUCUCUGUGAUGCUUUCCAAACACACACCACUCACUGGUUUCACUGCAUUGAUCCAACUUUGGUAUACCUUGUACCAUUUCAUGCUUUUGCAGAUUUUCUAGACUUGUCAUGUUUAAGUGACCAAGCCUCUUGUGCCAUAGCUUCAUUAAACCUGUCACACUUGCUUUCCUUGCCACCUCUUCUAGGUACUUCAACAUAAGUGGAAAGCUUUUAUUUUCCACUUCCACUCUAGUCACCAGGUUUGAUAGGGACUUGUCAUUAUAAAUCUCGACCACAAUUCCCCCAAAGAGUAGGAAAUAACCAUGCUCUAUCAUUUGACCCACACUAAGUAGAUUCUCAUACAAUCCAGGCACUAGCAUCUUUUCCCUUAUGCAUCUUCUUCCUUUCUUGGUGUUAAUGACCAGAGUUCCUCUUCCAGUGGCUUUGACAAUGUUUCCAUCCCCCAUUUUCACUUUUCCAGUGAAGUUUGUGUCAAUAUCAAUGAGUAAUGACUCAUGUGCAGUCAUGUGAUUGCUGCAGCCACUGUCAAUGUACUAUACUUCAAUGUUUUUCUCCACUUUUGCACUGAAAGCACAUAACACAUUUGCUUCUUCUUCCACUUGGUUUACACAGCUCACUUGUUGCACAUUCUUUGAUCUGCAAUCCUUUAUGAUAUGUCCAAACUUGUUGCAUUUGUGGCAUCUAGGCUUGUCUUUGAACCAACACUCCCCAAAAUGGGAUUUGUCACAGUGCUUGCAUUGCUGCUUGGUUCUUGGACCUUCAUUUGAGUUACUGCAUUGGUUAGGUCUAGGGUUUUGAUACCCAUUUCCUUCCCAUUUCUUGUUCUUGCCCUUCCACUGUGGUUUUUGUUUGCCUGUACUAACUUGACUACUAGAUCCAACAGAGAGUGAUUCAAAUACUUUCUCAAUGGCAAAAUCAGCAUGCCUCUCAAGUCUUUGGUCAAAAGCUCUUAAGGUGCCAUCACAUUUAGCACACUAAGAGUUUCAAUGUCUUUGGUUUCUUCAAUGACACUCACUAUUGAAUCAUAGGGCUUAGUCAAACUGAUCAAUAGUUUUUGGACAACUUUUUCAUUAGGCAGUUCCUCACCAUGUGUUUUCAUCUUAUUUACAACAUCAAAUAGUCUAGUAAAGUAAUCUUUCAACAGCUUAUUUUCCCUCAUUCUUGUAUACUCGAAAUCUCUUCUAAGGGAUUGAAGUUUUACCUUUCUGACUUUGGUGUCUCCUCUGUAUUUUUGCUGUAAAACUUCCCAAGCUCCCUUUGCAGUCUCUUCAUUUGCUAUCCUCGGGAAAAUGGUGUCUGAGACAGCACCUUGGAUGAUUCUCAGUGCUCUAGCAUCCUCCAUCAGGUUCUACUUCAAUGUUUUAAGUUGUGUUUCUGUGAGGUCCUCCUCUAGAGCAUUGACCUCCAUCUCAGGUAGUUCAUACCCGUAUUGAACCAUAUCUCAUAUAUCAUAGGAUUUGAAAAUGGUUGUCAUUCUUAUUCUCCAAAAGUCAUAGUUCUCCCCAUCAAAGACUGGAGUUUUUAGCUCACUGCUACUGCUGGAUCCCUUCAUUUGCAGGGUUGUUUGUUGGUGUUUGUUGUUGAGGACACUACGUAGGUGCUCCCAAAUAUCUCAACUUGCACAGAUUACGCCCAGAAAGUUGUAAGAUCACAAACUAGGCUCUGAGGCCAUGAUAAAGUUUGUUUGUUUUGGUGUUUUGAUUGAUUGUUUGGAUUGGUUUCUUAGGGUUAAAAUGGCAAAGAAUGGAGAGAACUUGGAGAUGAGAUUGACGGCUUCAAAGGCUGUGUAAGAUACAGCAAUAAUAAUUUCAUUAAGUAAGUGAAUGUUUGUAGGGUAUGGUGCAUUGCCAUGACCCAUACUUCUUCAAGAGAGUGAUUGACAAGAGACUUAAACAACCAUUUCAUCCUUAUU